This 497-nucleotide ribosomal RNA is filed under the name uncultured bacterium. RNAcentral's name for it is "partial 16S ribosomal RNA". It matches the Rfam family "Bacterial small subunit ribosomal RNA", at positions 28 to 507 of the family's 1533-position model. The record is from RNAcentral.
GACGAACGCUGGCGGCGUGCCUAAUACAUGCAAGUUGAGCGCUGAAGGUUGGUACUUGUACCGACUGGAUGAGCAGCGAACGGGUGAGUAACGCGUGGGGAAUCUGCCUUUGAGCGGGGUACAACAUGUGGAAACGAAUGCUAAUACCGCAUAAAAACUUUAAACACAAGUUUUAAGUUUGAAAGAUGCAAUUGCAUCACUCAAAGAUGAUCCCGCGUUGUAUUAGCUAGUUAGUGAGGUAAAGGCUCACCAAGGCGAUGAUACAUAGCCGACCUGAGAGGGUGAUCGGCCACAUUGGGACUGAGACACGGCACAAACUCCUACGGGAGGCAGCAGUAGGGAAUCUUCGGCAAUGGACGAAAGUCUGACCGCGCAACGCCGCGUGAGUGAAGAAGGUUUUCGGAUCGUAAAACUCUGUUGGUAGAGAAGAACGUUGGUGAGAGUGGAAAGCUCAUCAAGUGACGGUAACUACCCAGAAAGGGACGGCUAACUACGUG